GACGAACGCUGGCGGCGUGCUUAACACAUGCAAGUCGAACGAUGAAGAAAAGAAUCGAAGCUUCGGCAGAAAUUCAUUUCGGAUUAGUGGCAGACGGGUGAGUAACGCGUGAGCAACCUACCUCUUACAAAGGGAUAGCCUCGGGAAACCGGGAUUAAUACCAUAUAACAUUGUGACGAAGCAUUUCGAUGCAAUCAAAGCUACGGCGGUAAGAGAUGGGCUCGCGUCCCAUUAACCGGAUGGUGAGGUAACGGCUCACCAUAGUGACGAUGGGUAACCGGCCUGGGAGGGUGAACGGUCACACUGGAACUGAGACACGGUCCAGACUCCUACGGGAGGCAGCAGUGGGGAAUAUUGCACAAUGGAGGGAACUCUGAUGCAGCGACGCCGCGUGAGUGAUGAAGGAAUUCGUUUCGUAAAACUCUGUUCUAUGGGAAGAAAAGGACUGUACCAUAGGAGAAAGCUCCGGCUAAAUACGUG
This 480-nucleotide ribosomal RNA is filed under the name uncultured bacterium. Its description in RNAcentral is "partial 16S ribosomal RNA". It matches the Rfam family "Bacterial small subunit ribosomal RNA", at positions 28 to 507 of the family's 1533-position model. The record is from RNAcentral.